Molecule: long non-coding RNA, 5093 nt
Filed under: Vitis vinifera (wine grape)
Lineage: Eukaryota; Viridiplantae; Streptophyta; Magnoliopsida; Vitales; Vitaceae
Description: long non-coding RNA (VVIN_LNC004900)
Source: RNAcentral
ACCCCUUCAAGUUUUCUUUAGAAAACAACUAAAUUAUCACCAAUUAAAAAAUUUUAGAUGUCUCAGCUAUCCUUAUAUUCAUCCAUAUAAUAAAUGUAAACUCCUAACAUACACAUUUCAAAAAUCGCCAAUAUCUCUCGAUAUGUCAACUAUAUCAAAUGGUCAACGCGGGUCAAUAGGUGGUCAAAUGCGCUACAGUACCCCUUAAAAAUGCCUUGCAAUUUUAUUGUUAAGGGGACUCGAACCCCAAACAAAAGACUUAACUUUUAGCUCAACUUACCACUAGGACAAGUUUGCCCCUUGUUAAAUAUAUUGCACCAAACAUAUAUAUUCAAAGUCAUCAUAUAAAAAAAUUAUUAAAAGAAUAUUUUAGAGAACAAAUUAAUUAUAAUUAUUUUAUAAUUAAAUGCAAAAAAAUAUUUUAAUUGAUUACCAAAAAUAUAAAAAUUAUCAUGAUAAUUUUCUUCAUAGUGUUUUUAAUAUCAUUAAUAGAUUAAUUAAAUAUUAAAAAAUUGUACAUAUAUCACAAUUUAUUUUAUAUCAUUUAAUACAAUUGAAUUAAAUGGAUCAUAAUUUUAAUAUUAAAUUUAUUUUAAAAUUAAACAUAUUAUAAUCAAAUAUCACAAUAUUAUUAUGAAAUAAUAUUUAAUGUAAUUUAAUAAUAAAUGUACACUUAUAAAAUUCAUAUUUUUUAUUGAUGCAUACGAUAUUAUAAUCAAAUAUAAUGAAUCAUAUUAUACAUAUAUCAAAUUCUUUAAUAAAACAACUUUAAAAUAUCUAUUAUACUUCUAAUUACAUUUUUAUGAGGUUUUUCUUAUAUAUAUAUAUAUAUAUAUAUAUAUUAGGUUGUUUUUAUGGUUAGUUUGACCCAAGGUUUUUUACAUCUACCAAAUUUCUAAGAGACUUUAUAAGUGGUCUUCGCACAUAUAAUUGCUUGUUGUUGAUUGCUUUCUGUUAUCUCUUGUUGAUUCAAGAGAUAAAAAUUAAAAAUUGGGAAACUAAUUGCUUGAUUACCUAUUCCCCCUCCCUCAAGUAGUUUCGUAAUCAAGAUCAGACUUAUUUAAGUAUAAUAUAUAAACUAGCAUACAACUCUAUGCCUAAAAGUCAUUUAAUUGAAUUACCAUUGAUGCACUUGAUAUAAAUGUUACUAAUAGAACCCUCUAGGAAGACAAAUAAAGGUCAUUAAUUAGUGUAUAUAUAUAUAUAUAUAUAUAUAUAUAUAUAUAUAUAUAAUGUUAUAACCUUGGUUCCAUCUUAAGUUUGGAUCCAAUCUAUGCUUUCAAAUGUGUUAUCAAAAGCAAGUAAUUUGAUGUGAGUUGUUUUGAAGCUCUGAAUGGGCCUCAUCAUUUUCUAGUGAGUACAUUCCUACUUUCUUUUCGGCCCUCAUUGCAUGCCCUUGGACUUUCCUUUCUUUCUUAUCCAUAAGCCCAUUCAGUAAUUGGAUUUCUUGCCCAAGUGCAUUUUCAAAGGAUGCUUUGUGUUUACAUUAUUACGGAGUAUGACAAAUUUAGGUUAGUGUAAACCAUGCUUGGAAGAGUUUUGCAAAAGCAAGUUUGAAGCUCAAAUAUAAUUUAUUUAUUUAUUUAUUUUAAGGAUGUUUGAGAGAAUUUUCAAAUAUAAUUAUCAUAUUUCUUAACAUGAUUAAUAUGUGUUUUGGAAAAAUAGAGAGACAUGAGCAUUUGAGGAUAUAAAAGCAUAUAUUAUACUAGAUUAAUUUUUUAUACAAAUAUUAAUUAUAUCUUUGUUUUCUUAAUAAAAGUUUUUGUUAAAUAUGGUUUUCAAACAUAAAAAUCAAAGCUAUUGCAAAUAAAACUUAUAUAAAUAUAUUUCAAGUUUGGCACUCUCAAAGUAGAGUCCUAAGAAAUGGUGAGUUGGGUAAGGUCCUUUAUUGUCAUAAAAUUGUCUCCCUCAUGACUUGAACUUUGGCAGCUAAAGACAUUUACCAAAAUAUGACAAAAUUAAAUCUGAGGAACAAACUUGGAUCAACUCGAUCCCAUCCAAAUUUUUACCAAUUUUGGGGGGAAAAAAGUACCACAUUAGUGCCCUUAAUUUCAUUACAAUUUUGAACAAAGUAUGCUUUUUUAAUAUGUGCUUUUGAUGAUGAAAAGUGAAAAUAUAAAUACCUAAAUUUAAAGAUUAUAAAACCACUAGAUAUGACAAGUCUAAAAAUUCUAGGGAAUGUUUCAUUUAUAAAUUAUCUCUUCUUCUAGAUGUUCUUUUCUUCUUCUCCUACUGUUUUUGGCUAUCUUCUUUUAUGUGCUCUGGAAUAAGAUUACUCAAGUGUCCAUGGCCAGAAUGGAAGCUGUUACACCUCCACAUCAGCAAAGCUAGCUAUAUGACUUGCACGUACAUGAUCAUAUAUACAGUUCUCCCUAUUGAUCAUGUACUUGGCUACUUGUUCAUCUCACCCUCUUUGAGGUGUUGGCGAGAGCUAUUGGCCUCAGAUGAGGAGGUACUAUCCUUUCCAUACACAAAAAAUGGAAAAGAAGAAGACAAUGGAAACUGUGAGAAGAUAAGGAACAAAGCUACCUUAGAAAAUAUCUUGUUAGGUAUAUAGCUGAAAAAUACUAAUUUUUGAAACCCCUUGUAUCUCUCCGUGAGUUAGUUGUUACCAUUUGUGCAGUAUUCUCAACAUUACUGGCCUAACAAUUCAACCAUUAUUUCACCCAUUCAGUAAAUAUUCAUACUCCAGAAUCAUGCAAAGACUAUUUGUGAUGUUGCGGAUUUGACAUCUGCCCGAUUUAAUUUAACACAUACCUGAAGGUUUGCUCCCUCCAUACUUGGUGCCAAACUUGAGCACUUUAUUGCUUACAUACCACACAUGGCAAACAUCUAACCGUAGGAUGAUGAGUCUGAAAUUCUUGAAGCAAAGGAAAAAAGAAAGAAAAGAGAGUUACAGAGGAGUUUUAGUAUUACAUUGGUUGGAUCUUCAUCAGAAAUGUUUGCAGACCAAAAAAGCUAGAUGUUGUCACUGCUGAAUGAUACUUUGUAUAGGGAAGUUUGCCCAAGCACAUCAGUUUGAUGUUCCUAUUAUGCUUCUACAGUACCAACAAGAAAAAUGUUUUAGGGUUUAAUAGAGUCUGAGGGUUUUUUCCUUUUUAGCAAAAGAAAAGAGGAUUAGGAAUCAAGCAAUUCUGAUUAAAAUAGAUGAAAAAAGGCUUUGAUACUUAAUUAAGAGUUGUUUAACUCUGGACCUCUUCUUCUGUGCUUCCUUUUUUGGUUCCUUAAUUAACAAUAAAUUAUACUUACCAACCAAAAGAUGGAUAUGAUAUCAGACCUUAUGAUAUCAGUGGUUAGCUUAAGCUUUAAUCACCUUUUAAGUACAUGGUUAAAGAACUCCUCCAUUAUAACAACCAACAUGAUUAGAUAUGUGGGCCUCUAGCCUUUGAUAAAAUACAAAGUGAUCUUUCCAUACAGAUUAGACUGCAUUGUUUUUGACUUAUGCUACGGAAUUUUUGCUAAAGUGAAAUUAACGCCAAGGAUCAGCACAUACCUAUAAGUUGAUGCUGUACAAUCCAAGAACAGGUCAUUGAUGAGCAUCACUAGAUACACUUUCUCAGUUCAUGUCAAAACUAAUUUCCACCAUUUUUGUUAAUUUCAAGAGCCCCAUCAGUCGAUAUGAGCCACAGGAAAGUACAUCUUGAUAAAAUCAUGUCUUAUGCUAAGUUAAUUAUUAGGGCAAUUAAGCUCAAAUACUGAAACUAGGAAUAGAUUCAAACAGUGCAAAAAAUUACAAUUUUCAAAAGACACAUAUAUAAGGCUAAUUAAUUGAUCAAACAAGGAGUAAUUAAACAAAAGAAGAUUCUAAUCUUUUAGGGUUUUGGGUGCUUGCUAUGCAGAUACUAUUGUAUCACUUGGUUGAAAUGGUGCAACUUCAUAAACCUGAAGAUGGUAAAGUUUUUUAUCUGGUGUUGUCCAUUUAGAUUCCUUCUCUCUUUGGUUAACGUUUCUUUCCAUUUAGAAGUAAAAACUCAUGCUCCAAAGAUGGUAUAAAGCCUCAUGACUCAAGCAAUAUCCUACUCAAUUGAACAGAGAAAUAAUACUAGCUAACCAUAGUAAUAACAUGGCAUAUGAGAGUAGAAAAAAAGGAGUCUUGUCUCUUCAAAACAACGCAACAGUACACUCAUAUUUUUUUCCAUCAAUAUAUAUGGUUAUCAAAGAGGAAGUUCAGUCGAGUGCAUCAUCAACCAUGAAAGAAAAUAACACAACAAUCUCAAAACCCAACAAAGGAAAAGCAGGAGACAAUUCAUUACAGGAAACACCAGAUGUAGAUAUGAAAUGAUUAUUAAAAUUCUAUUUCCCAUUUGAGGUAGGGGAAGAACACUCGCACACUAACUCGGUUUCCACUUCCCGGAGGUGGAAGUUCCGGUGGCAGCCGCAGGCGGCGCAGGUGAGUGCACUGCUGGUUCCCUCUUCACCGCUCGCCAUGAACUCUCUGCACCCAUCAACAGCAUACCCUCCAACACCCGCAGCGUGAUUCUUCUGACACUCUCCAUACCUCACACUCCUCACUGUGAAAGAUGAAUUAGCUGAGCUUCUUGAUGGCUCAUCUCUCCUAAGCACAACUUGACGCUUCCUCAUCCUACAAGACCCCAAAUCUACUCUACCUUCUUCUCCACACCCACCAAGAAAACAGCUGCAAUUCUCCAAUUCUUCCAGAGAUCCAGAAUCAGAAGCUGGCAUAGAAGAGAAAGAAAGAAAUAGAGAGAGGAAGAUGGGGGAAGAGGGGAAGUGGCAAACUAGCUCUGAGUUUGUUCCUGCCAACCCUAACCCUAGAAUGCUUAUUUAUAGCCUGUAACCCUCUUAUUAGGGAGUUAAUCUUUAUUGCAAAUAAGAAAAAACCCAUUACCAACUUUUACUUUGUGUCAUUUUCUGUAUUUUACUCUCCAAAAACCCUAGAAUGGUCGUUGUGAAUUGAUUGUCCAACUGCCCAAUAUCUCAUCAUCACUGAAUAAAAACGAUUCCCGCGCAAAUAAGGCAAACCCUAAAAUGAUGAGAAAACCUUUCGUUUGGCCCAUUACAGUGACUACUUUGUAAUAGAAUGACCAGCUAAGCUUCCUUUUUAAUCUAAAGCUCCAUGCUCUUACAUUUUU